RNAcentral lists this ribosomal RNA (497 nucleotides) under uncultured bacterium. Its description in RNAcentral is "partial 16S ribosomal RNA". It matches the Rfam family "Bacterial small subunit ribosomal RNA", at positions 28 to 507 of the family's 1533-position model. The record is from RNAcentral.
GAUGAACGCUGGCGGCGUGCCUAAUACAUGCAAGUCGAGCGAACAGACGAGGCGCUUGCUCCUCUGACGUUAGCGGCGGACGGGUGAGUAACACGUGGAUAACCUACCUAUAAGACUGGGAUAACUUCGGGAAACCGGAGCUAAUACCGGAUAAUAUAUUGAACCGCAUGGUUCAUUAGUGAAAGACGGUUUUGCUGUCACUUAUAGAUGGAUCCGCGCCGCAUUAGCUAGUUGGUAAGGUAACGGCUUACCAAGGCAACGAUGCGUAGCCGACCUGAGAGGGUGAUAGGCCACACUGGAACUGAGACACGGUCCAGACUCCUACGGGAGGCAGCAGUAGGGAAUCUUCCGCAAUGGGCGAAAGCUUGACGGAGCAACGCCGCGUGAGUGAUGAAGGUCUUCGGAUCGUAAAACUCUGUUAUUAGGGAAGAACAAAUGUGUAAGUAACUAUGCACGUCUUGACGGUACCUAAUCAGAAAGCAACGGCUAACUACGUG